RNAcentral lists this ribosomal RNA (225 nucleotides) under uncultured bacterium. RNAcentral's name for it is "partial 16S ribosomal RNA". It matches the Rfam family "Bacterial small subunit ribosomal RNA", at positions 943 to 1167 of the family's 1533-position model. The record is from RNAcentral.
GGGUUUAAUUCGAUGAUACGCGAGGAACCUUACCCGGGCUUGAAUUGCAGAGGAAGGAUUUGGAGACAAUGACGCCCUUCGGGGUCUCUGUGAAGGUGCUGCAUGGUUGUCGUCAGCUCGUGCCGUGAGGUGUCGGCUUAAGUGCCAUAACGAGCGCAACCCCUCUCCUUAGUUGCCAUCAGGUCAGGCUGGGCACUCUGGGGACACUGCCACCGUAAGGUGUGA